AGCCGGGGACGACCCCGAUUCUGCUCACAAUCCCCACGGGACGACCCGA
Molecule: non-coding RNA, 49 nt
Filed under: Vibrio sp.
Lineage: Bacteria; Pseudomonadati; Pseudomonadota; Gammaproteobacteria; Vibrionales; Vibrionaceae
Description: Guanidine-II sequence
Rfam family: Guanidine-II riboswitch aptamer (mini-ykkC)
About the family: Simpler in structure and has fewer highly conserved nucleotide positions than the ykkC-yxkD leader.
Source: RNAcentral